UGGGGAAUCUUGGACAAUGGGGGAAACCCUGAUCCAGCCAUGCCGCGUGAGUGAUGAAGGCCCUAGGGUUGUAAAACUCUUUCGGCGGGGACGAUAAUGACGGUACCCGCAGAAGAAGCUCCGGCUAACUUCGUGCCAGCAGCCGCGGUAAUACGAAGGGGGCUAGCGUUGUUCGGAAUUACUGGGCGUAAAGCGCGCGCAGGCGGUCCUUCAAGUCAGAGGUGAAAGCCCAGAGCUCAACUCUGGAAUGGCCUUUGAGACUAGAGGACUUGGGUACGGGAGAGGUGAGUGGAAUUCCGAGUGUAGAGGUGAAAUUCGUAGAUAUUCGGAAGAACACCAGUGGCGAAGGCGGCUCACUGGCCCGUUACCGACGCUCAGGCGCGACAGCGUGGGGAGCAAACA
This 402-nucleotide ribosomal RNA is filed under the name uncultured Alphaproteobacteria bacterium. Its description in RNAcentral is "partial 16S ribosomal RNA". It matches the Rfam family "Bacterial small subunit ribosomal RNA", at positions 355 to 774 of the family's 1533-position model. The record is from RNAcentral. Lineage: Bacteria; Pseudomonadati; Pseudomonadota; Alphaproteobacteria.